This 481-nucleotide ribosomal RNA is filed under the name uncultured bacterium. RNAcentral describes it as "partial 16S ribosomal RNA". It matches the Rfam family "Bacterial small subunit ribosomal RNA", at positions 28 to 507 of the family's 1533-position model. The record is from RNAcentral.
GAUGAACGCUGGCGGCGUGCUUAACACAUGCAAGUCGAACGAAGCACUUUAUUUGAUUUCCUUCGGGACUGAUUAUUUUGUGACUGAGUGGCGGACGGGUGAGUAACGCGUGGGUAACCUGCCUUGUACAGGGGGAUAACAGUUGGAAACGGCUGCUAAAACCGCAUAAGCGCACAGCAUCGCAUGAUGCAGUGUGAAAAACUCCGGUGGUAUAAGAUGGACCCGCGUUGGAUUAGCUAGUUGGUGAGGUAACGGCCCACCAAGGCGACGAUCCAUAGCCGACCUGAUAGGGUGACCGGCCACAUUGGGACUGAGACACGGCCCAAACUCCUACGGGAGGCAGCAGUGGGGAAUAUUGCACAAUGGGCGAAAGCCUGAUGCAGCGACGCCGCGUGAGCGAAGAAGUAUUUCGGUAUGUAAAGCUCUAUCAGCAGGGAAGAUAAUGACGUUACCUGACUAAGAAGCACCGGCUAAAUACGUG